UAGAGAGAGACAUGCGCGCAUAUCAAUAAGCGGAGGAAAAGAAACUAACAAGGAUUCCCCUAGUAACGGCGAGUGAAGCGGGAAGAGCUCAAAUUUGAAAUCUUAAAGGGUUUCCCUUUACGAAUUGUAGUUUAAAGAAAUGUUUUCUGUUGAGGUUUUGGUAAAAGUUCUUUGGAAUAGGACAUCAUAGAGGGUGAGAAUCCCGUAUUUGACCUUUACUUUCAACUUUGUGAUACACUUUCAAAGAGUCGGAUUGUUUGGGAAUGCAGUCCAAAAUGGGUGGUAAAUUUCAUCUAAAGCUAAAUAUUGGCGAGAGACCGAUAGCGAACAAGUACCGUGAGGGAAAGAUGAAAAGAACUUUGAAAAGAGAGUUAAACAGUACGUGAAAUUGUCAAAAGGGAAGCGUUUGACACCAGUGUUGUUUUUCUGAAAAUCAAUUAAAGAACUGUUUAUGCUAAGUUGUUUAGACUUUAUCAGCUAACUGUUUAGUUUUGAGCUUUUCUUUAAUGCACUUUUCAGUUAACAAGUCAACAUCAAUUUCUUUUGCUGUAAAAAAGCUUGAGGAAGGUGGCUUGAGAUUCGUCUUAAGUGUUUAUAGCCUCUUGCCUAUGCAGUCGGAGAGAUUGAGGUCUGCAGCGUAGAUCCUUCGGGGCUAAAUGCAUUUGUGCUAAGUUAUAGCAUUUUAUAGACAACUUGUUGACUAUGAUUUGUCUUGUAGCUUACUCGCUUAUGUUAUUUUACCUACGCUUAGGAUGUUGAGCGCAUGUCUCUCUCU
This 775-nucleotide ribosomal RNA is filed under the name uncultured Neocallimastigales. RNAcentral describes it as "partial large subunit ribosomal RNA". It matches the Rfam family "Eukaryotic large subunit ribosomal RNA", at positions 23 to 616 of the family's 3401-position model. The record is from RNAcentral. Lineage: Eukaryota; Fungi; Neocallimastigomycota; Neocallimastigomycetes; Neocallimastigales.